UUGUAGCAUUUUUUACAAAUAUUUUUUGGCAGAAAACAUCCACAUAAUGUUCAGUCAGUAAGUGAAAAUUAGAAAACUAUAUAAUACUUUUCU
This is a long non-coding RNA of Limulus polyphemus (Atlantic horseshoe crab), 93 nucleotides long. RefSeq lists it as uncharacterized. The transcript has 3 exons. The record is from RefSeq and is a predicted model, not a curated record. Lineage: Eukaryota; Metazoa; Arthropoda; Merostomata; Xiphosura; Limulidae.